RNAcentral lists this ribosomal RNA (253 nucleotides) under uncultured bacterium. Its description in RNAcentral is "partial 16S ribosomal RNA". It matches the Rfam family "Bacterial small subunit ribosomal RNA", at positions 524 to 776 of the family's 1533-position model. The record is from RNAcentral.
UACAGAGGGGGCAAGCGUUGUUCGGAAUUACUGGGCGUAAAGGGCGCGUAGGCGGCCUUCUAAGUCGAACGUGAAAUCCCCGGGCUCAACCCGGGAACUGCGUCCGAUACUGGCAGGCUUGAAUCCGGGAGAGGGAUGCGGAAUUCCAGGUGUAGCGGUGAAAUGCGUAGAUAUCUGGAGGAACACCGGUGGCGAAGGCGGCAUCCUGGACCGGCAUUGACGCUGAGGCGCGAAAGCCAGGGGAGCAAACGGG